UGUGACUUUGGCCAGGCACCAAUCAUCUGCCUCCUUCUGUGCCUGCCUGGCUGCCCCUACCCUGGGGCUCCCUCCUAGCCCCCACCUCACCUACUGGCUCACUGAGACAGAGCCAAACAUGAAAGGGAAGGUGACGGCCUGGCCAUAGGGCCCAGGAAAAUGCAGGUAUCAUUAACAGCCUGGAGCACUGUGGCCUGUCCACUCUCAACCCUCUGCUGCCCACCCCUUCCUGGAAUAGACCCCAGGCCACAUACAGAGGGGGCAAGCCCAAGGACUCAACUGGCCCUCCGAACGCUAUCCCACUUUCCAGCCAGGAUUGAAGGAGAUCCCAUCUUGGGUCUAAAGGAAUGGGGGUGAAGACUGCAUCUUGUCGUUCCAGUUCCACCCCAUUCUGGCAUGGGAAGCAUGUGUGGGCUUCUACUCUAUGGGAGAUUCAUAGCCUCAAUCCUUAAGGAAUUCUCAAUCUGAAAGGAAAACACAAACCCUGACCUCAGGGAGCUCCCAGUUUGACAGUGGAGACAGAGAGGCCCUGCAUCAAGUAGAAAAACAACCCCCACUGCUCUCAAGCACACAGCAAUGAAGAUAUGUAUCCUUGGUGCUACAGGCAAAUGCUGACGAUACGACAGUGAAUACAACAUGAAAAAACAAGCACACUUCUCACCCCUAUGGAGCUUUAUUCUGGUCAGGCAGAAGGAGAAGGAAAUGUAAACAUGCAAGGUCAGGUACUGCUGUGAAGCAAAAUAAAGCUGUGGGUACUGUGCGAAGGA
This 767-nucleotide long non-coding RNA is filed under the name Homo sapiens (human). RNAcentral describes it as "HSALNT0334346". The record is from RNAcentral. Lineage: Eukaryota; Metazoa; Chordata; Mammalia; Primates; Hominidae.